This is a non-coding RNA of Pelobates cultripes (western spadefoot toad), 6531 nucleotides long. Lineage: Eukaryota; Metazoa; Chordata; Amphibia; Anura; Pelobatidae. The record is from the annotation of a GenBank genome assembly.
GAGAAACCAGAAUAUAUAGGUGCUAAACAAGGGCCAGGUGAAGUGCUUAACGAAAGGAAAUGAGAAACAGUGCCAAACAGAAACAGUUGUGAGUGUGAGUACUGCACGAGGGCAUAUUAACUAAGGAGUGUUGUGACACAGGGGAGGUGUGGCUAUGGCUGCAUAAACUGAAACAAAAGUGAGUUAACUCUUAGAAUAGUAGAGAAAUGACCAGUGAGAUUGCAGGGGCAAGAUCUAUACACCAAAACUGCUUCAUUAAGCUAAAGUUGUUUUGAUGACUAUAGUGUCCCUUUAAUGUCCCUCUUCACUAGGUGCUCCGUAUUGUUGGUGUGUUUGAGUGUAUAACAGAGCUCCACAGCAAUAAUACUCCCAGUAAUGUGUCUGAGUGUAUAACAGAGCUCCACAGCAAUAAUACUCCCAGUAAUGUGCCUGAAUGUAUAACAGAGCACCACAGCAAUAAUACUCCCAGUAAUGUGCCUGAAUGUAUAACAGAGCACCACAGCAAUAAUACUCCCAGUAAUGUGUCUGAGUGUAUAACAGAGCUCCACAGCAAUAAUACUCCCAGUAAUGUGUCUGAGUGUAUAACAGAGCUCCACAGCAAUAAUACUUCCAGUAAUGUGCCUGAAUGUAUAACAGAGCACCACAGCAAUAAUACUCCCAGUAAUGUGUCUGAGUGUAUAACAGAGCUCCACAGCAAUAAUACUCCCAGUAAUGUGUCUGAGUGUAUAGCAGAGCUCCACAGCAAUAAUACUCCCAGUAAUGUGUCUGAGUGUAUAGCAGAGCUCCACAGCAAUAAUACUCCCAGUAAUGUGUCUGAGUGUAUAACAGAGCUCCACAGCAAUAAUACUCCCAGUAAUGUGUCUGAGUGUAUAACAGAGCUCCACAGCAAUAAUACUCCCAGUAAUGUGCUGAGUGUAUAACAGAGCUCCACAGCAAUAAUACUUCCAGUAAUGUGUCUGAGUGUAUAACAGAGCUCCACAGCAAUAAUACUCCCAGUAAUGUGUCUGAGUGUAUAACAGAGCCCCACAGUAAUAAUACUCCCAGUAAUGUGUCUGAGUGUAUAACAGAGCCCCACAUCAAUAAUACUCCCAGUAAUGUGUCUGAGUGUAUAACAGAGCUCCACAGCAAUAAUACUCCCAGUAAUGUGUCUGCGUGUAUAGCAGAGCUCCACAGCAAUAAUACUCCCAGUAAUGUGUCUGAGUGUUUAACAGAGCUCCACAGCAAUAAUACUUCCAGUAAUGUGUCUGAGCGUAUCACAGAGUUCCACAGCAAUAAUACUCCCAGUAAUGUGUCUGAGUGUAUAACAGAGCUUCACAGCAAUAAUACUCCCAGUAAUGUGUCUGAGUGUAUAACAGAGCUUCACAGCAAUAAUACUCCCAAUAAUGUGCCUGAGUGUAUAACAGAGCUCCACGGCAAUAAUAAUCCCAGUAACGUGUCUUCAAUAAAUGUGUUUAGAAAUCUGUUUGUGUAAAUAAAAUACAUUGUUCUUGUUAGAAAUUACAUUUUAGUUGUAUAAAUUGUUAUUAGAAAGUCUCAGAAUAGACCUGCCCAUGCCACGCCCCUAAAAUAAAAGUAUCGCUCUUUGUCCAUUGUCGGGAAGGUCUCUAUAACUGAUUGACUCCACAGAAAGCUGCAGUGAAGGCCUUGGCUUUCUAACACAGUGUCCCAGUCAGAUGAUGAUUUAUAAUCGGGCACCUGAUAUCACCUGAACUCUGAGAGGCGCUUUGUUUCCAGUGAUUAGAACAAGGUGAUUGGAUUAUUGCGAGCUAGCAUUGUCUAAAUGUUGCAGAUAAAGUGCAGGGUGAGAGUGGCGUGCCGAAGGACAAAGCUCGCUCAGUUAUCACAGUCUCAUAACGUGAGGUUUAUGGGUUCAAAGGCAUAGAUUAGACAUCAACAUAUAGAAUAGUAAAAAUAUUAUUAAAACAAUGAAUGUAGUAUGGAAAUAUAUAUAUACUCAGAUUAUAUAGUAGAUUAUAAAGUAUUAUAGAUUAUAAAGUAUUUUAGAUUAUAUUAUAAAUUAAAAAUGAACAACACACAAUCUAUUCUACACUAUACUACAAUAUCUCAACAUCACUAUGAUACAACGUAUCUGUCUUCUUCACUAUUACACAAAGCCUCAACAACGGAGGAUGCUGUGAUAUAUUGUAAAACAUGAUCAGGGUCUCACUAUACAAUGGAUUGUCAGCUCUUUGCGUUCAUGCUUUAACUCUGACAUAGUGCCUCGAGACUGCCCUGAAGAGCUUGCAUUUCUUUAUGGUUGGGUAUAGACGCUAUUUCCUCCUUUUUUCCCUUUUUUGAGUAUGCAGUGAACCUGUAUCAUUCCUGGGACAGCACAGAAAAUAUUGCUCAAUAUGUUCUACCCAAAUUCCUGUGCACUCUGCAGGUCAGCCACUGCAGUCUGCGAUAACAUGCAGGGGAACCUGGGAAAAAAAUCUGUGCUAAUAGAAAUCAAUAGUGAUUGCGCAGAGAGUGAAAUAAGUUCACGGACACGUUUAGAUAAACUUUAUUUGCUCUAUACAUUGAACCUAUUGGAAUGCUAAACAAUUAGUCUCUUUACCUUAAGACAGAAACAGUUUGCUCAGUUUUUCUUACAGUUUGUCUCACUUAUUAAGCAGACAUAUAAAGUGCAAAUUUAUCCAUUUAAUAGCCCCCUCUACAUGCCCACAGCCUCAUCUACAUGCCCAUACCCCCAUCUACAUGCCCACAGCAUCAUCUACAUGCCCAUAGCCCCUCUACCUGCCCAUAGCACCCUGUACAUGCCCACAACACCAUCUACAUGCCCAUAGCCCCUCUACCUGCCCAUAGCACCCUGUACAUGCCCACAACACCAUCUACCUGCCCAUAGCCCUUGUACAUGCCCAUAGCGCCCUCUACACAUGCCUGCCCAUAGCAACCUCUACCUGCCCAUAGCCCCUUUACAUGCUCACAGUCCCAUCUACAUGCCCAUAGCCCGUUUCAUGCCCACAGUCCCAUCUACAUGCCCAUAGCCCCUCUAACUGCCCAAAGCACCCUGUACAUGCCCACAACACCAUCUACAUGUCCGUAGCCCCUCUAAGUGCCCAUAGCCCCAUCUGCCUGCCCGUAGCCCCCUCUACAUACCCAAUACACCCUCUACAUGUAUGUGGCAUAUUAUAUAUGGCACCCUGUCUAUAUUAAUACAUUGAUAUCCUUUCUUUGCUGCUGAGGAAUAAAGAAAGAGAUAAGCCUAAUAUGAGCCUCCGUGUCCUUUAAUAAAAUUGCAAUAUAUAGCCCAAUACAUUUUGGCGGAUAUAACUGAUCUGAACAGAGCUGGACUGGGCAUUUUUUACAGUUCUGCUGUUUUGGUUUAGGUUAGUCCUUACAAUGCCAGUAGAUUAGAAUAAAGGUUUGCACCUCAUCCCCUUGGGCAUUUUCCUGACCCUCCUUGUGUGUCUCUCCUAAUUCCCUCAUUCCACCUUGUGUGUAUCUUGUGUCCUUUUACCAUCUUGUCUCUUAACACACUGUUACUUCUUGUGUGUCUCUCAAUCCCACUUACAUCGUGUAUGUCUUAACCCCUCUGAUCCUCUUUUUGCCCCCCCCCCACAUAAUUAGACAGUACAUGCAUAGAUGCCUACACAUACAAUCUCAUACACAUAUAGACAUAAGCACAGUCACAAGCAAAGACACACAAAUAAACACAGUUACAUACAGAGAAACCAAGCACACACAGUCACAACAUACAUAAUCACACAAUUACACACCCACAUCCAUGCCCAGACAGUCACAUACACCAGUCAUAUGCACACCAUAUCAGUCACAUAAACAGUCACAAAUACAGCCAGUCACACAGUGUAAGUAACAAAAGUCAACCACAGUCACAUACACACAGUCCUUGCUGCCAUGAGCACCGGGAGGAGGAGAGGAGGCCACAGUCCCUGGUGUCUAGUGGGGGGAUGUAGGCAUUUCUUCCUGCUACCUCUCUACACAGAGGUGUCUAUAGACCUGGCGAGGCCCUCUUAAACAGUGUAAAGGUUAUCUCUAUAAACUCAUUUGUAUAAACUUUAAAAUGUAAAUUUCUAUGUAUAAUAUUUUUAUUAUUUCAGUUUGCUGUGCAUGUACAGUGAUGUAUACAUCCCAAAUAUAUAUAUAUAUAUAUAUAUUACAUUAUAUUAUAGCCCUUAUACAUUAAUACACAUACAAACCCACAGAUCAUGUCUUAUACAUAAACAUACACACAUUGACAUACAGACACACAAUGUCACAUACAUAGGCACACACCAAUAUACACAGUCACAUACAUACAAAUCCACAGAUCACAUCUCAUACACGCACUGACAUUUGCACAUUGACAUACAGACACACAAUGUCACAUACACAGGCACACACCAACAUACACAGUCACAUACAUACAAAUCCCCAGAUCAUAUCUCGUACACGCACUGACAUUCACACAUUGACAUACAGACACACAAUGUCACAUACACAGGCACACACCAACAUACACAGUCACAUACAUACAAAUCCCCAGAUCAUAUCUCAUACACGCACUGACAUUCGCACAUUGACAUACAGACACACAAUGUCACAUACACAGGCACACACCAACAUACACAGUCACAUAUAUACAAAUCCACAGAUUAUAUCUCAUACACACACUGACAUUCGCACAUUGACAUACAGACACACAAUGUCACAUACACAGGCACACACCAACAUACACAGUCACAUACAUACAAAUCCACAGAUCAUAUCUCAUACACGCACUGACAUUCGCACAUUGACAUACAGACACACAAUGUCACAUACACAGGCACACACCAACAUACACAGUCACAUACAUACAAAUCCACAGAUCAUAUCUCAUACACGCACUGACAUUCACACAUUGACAUACAGACACACAAUGUCACAUACACAGGCACACACCAACAUACACAGUCACAUACAUACAAAUCCCCAGAUCACAUCUCAUACACAGACUGACAUUCGCACAUUCAUAUACAAACACACAAUGUCACAUACAUAGGCACACACCAACAUAGUCACAAAAUAACCAAAAUAGCCCAACUGAAAAUAUGUCUGACAUUGAAAUGCCCUUUAAAUUCCUGACAAUUAUUGUUUUAGUGUAAGUGUAUAACCUUGUCAAACAUGAACUAACACACACCAUCACAAUCAUCACAGACAUACAGCCUCAUAUUUGCACAAACACACAUCACCAUGCACACAGACACCCCAAAAGACAAUCACACAGAUAUACACACAUUAACACAGUCACAUAUUUUAAAAGACACACAAAGUCAGUCAUAUACAUACAUACUACAUACUCAGUCACAUACGUAAACACACAAUCUCAAACACAGUCACAGGUACAGAGUCAUACACUUACUUGAAUUAGGGUUCCGAUGAGGGUGUAACAUCACCUAUGCUUGGCAGCUUUUUUGUACUGGGGCGAUUGAGUGAUAUUGCGGGAGUAUCACUCAAUCGCUUACCUUGUCCAGAGCCAUCAUCCGCUUCCUUGCAGUGCCACCUCAUUCUGGUGCCCGUUCACAAAUGCCCCCUCUGUACCUGGUGGUCCAGUGAUGGCCUAUAUAUUCCCUGGUGGUCUGGUGGUUAAUAGCAUAGAGGGUUAGUUCCGAUCAUAAUAUCCUCACCUUUGUGGUUCUGGAGUUCAAUGUUGAGUCAGAGCGCAGGCUGGACAUCCGUGAGUCAUAACAGAGCUCCGGAACCACGAGGCAGAGAAUAUUAUCUGCACGUCCUGCUGGUGUGCACACCAUUGGACCACCAGGCAAUCAUUUUAUUUAAUAUUCCUGCCUCUGCUUGCAAACUGUGUUGGUCACCGGGCUCUCCUGUUGUCAUAGCGCCCUGUGCAAACACACAGCUCACACACCACAACGGCCGUCUCUUACCCUGUACUUGCCCGUGCCAUGCUAUAUAUGCCUUUAGUACAUUAUGUACUGAGGACAAGAGAGAAUGUUACUACAUUUUGUAAAGUGAGCUAUUUAUGGUGUUAAAGAAUAAGAUACCAUUAUCUGAGUCAGAAGGUGCAAGACUGGCUAAUACGUUACAGAAAAGGUAGUUGAUAAAUUGAAUACCUUUCAAGUAUAAGUAGAAGCAGCGAACAUUGUUAAGGUAUCAAAGAAUUCUAUUUAGUGGUUCCGCCAUUAAAAAUUGUGUCAAUAAAAGGCUUCCCUUUGGGUACGCUGCACAAAUUUCAGUCUUUACUGCGUUUAGAAACGUCAUCAUAUUGAAGUGUCAUUUUUUGCAAGAAUAAAAUGUAAAUGCAAGGCCAUCAAAAUGGUCAAAUUGUUUUGUCAGUAUCUUGCUACAGUUGGAUGUAUGUACAUGAUCAGGACCGUAAAUUAAAUUUCUUUCUCUGCAGGGAGUUGUCUAAGGUCAUGCAACCUGCUAAAACCAUGAUUCCGAGUCUUUCCUGGAUUGACUUAUCCCCGACAGAAUUCUCUAUUUACCGAUGAUGAUUUGACGGAAUGCAAUCUCAAUAUCACAGACUUGUUCCACCACAUGUAGGCUUCGUCCCUGAUUAAAGCUUUUACAUUCCUUACAGGAAUACAUAUG